This 380-nucleotide long non-coding RNA is filed under the name Daucus carota (carrot). Its description in RNAcentral is "long non-coding RNA (DCAR_LNC004847)". Lineage: Eukaryota; Viridiplantae; Streptophyta; Magnoliopsida; Apiales; Apiaceae. The record is from RNAcentral.
CAUCAUUCGUCUCCGUCUCUCGACAAAAUCACAUCUAAGAAGCAUUUCAAAGAUAAGAUCAAAUCAAAUCAAAUCUUCAAAGGUAUAAUUUUGAUAAUUAUCUCUCUUCAAAGUUUACAUCUCAAUUAGAAAUAUCUUUGAUCAACUAUGUUUAUGUGCAUGUGCAGAUUAAUGAAAGGUGAAAGCGAAAAUCAGAAUGCGAAAUUUGCUGAUCAGUUCGAGACUGACCUUCCUGUUGAAGGUGAUCCAAACACUAAUGAUGAUGUUGUAGACGUCUAUUUCUUUAUGAACUAAAGAAGUUUGAUCAAGAAACAUUCAGGGGCUACUGCUACUUUGCUGCGAUAAUUAUGUAUUGUCAACCAUAUCAGUUUGUUAAAUAU